Molecule: ribosomal RNA, 254 nt
Filed under: uncultured bacterium
Lineage: Bacteria
Description: partial 16S ribosomal RNA
Rfam family: Bacterial small subunit ribosomal RNA
Source: RNAcentral
UACGGGGGGAGCAAGCGUUGUUCGGAUUUACUGGGCGUAAAGGGCGCGUAGGCGGUCGUGACAAGUCACUUGUGAAAUCUCCGGGCUUAACUCGGAACGGUCAAGUGAUACUGUCGGACUAGAGUACAGAAGGGGCAACUGGAAUUCCCAGUGUAGCGGUGAAAUGCGUAGAUAUUGGGAAGAACACCUGAGGCGAAGGCGGGUUGCUGGGCCGACACUGACGCUGAGGCGCGAAAGCCAGGGGAGCGAACGGG